AGGAAUCCUGAGGUGAGGAGAGAAGGAAGGAAUCCUGAGGUGAGAGAAGGAAGGAAUCCUGAGGUGAGGAGAGAAGGAAGGAAUCCUGAGGUGAGCAGAGAAGGAAGGAAUCCUGAGGUGAGGAGAGAAGGAAGGAAUCCUGACGUGAGCAGAGAAGGAAGGAAUCCUGAGGUGAGAGAAGGAAGGAAUCCUGAGGUGAGAGAAGGAAGGAAUCCCGAGGUGAGCAGAGAAGGAAGGAAUCCCGAGGUGAGCAGAGAAGGAAGGAAUCCCGAGGUGAGAGAAGGAAGGAAUCCUGAGGUGAGGAGAGAAGGAAGGAAUCCUGACGUGAGCAGAGAAGGAAGGAAUCCUGAGGUGAGAGAAGGAAGGAAUCCUGAGGUGAGCAGAGAAGGAAGGAAUCCUGAGGUGAGCAGAGAAGGAAGGAAUCCCGAGGUGAGAGAAGGAAGGAAUCCUGAGGUGAGAAGGAAGGAAUCCCGAGGUGAGCAGAGAAGGAAGGAAUCCUGAGGUGAGAGAAGGAAGGAAUCCCGAGGUGAGAGAAGGAAGGAAUCCCGAGGUGAGCAGAGAAGGAAGGAAUCCCGAGGUGAGAGAAGGAAGGAAUCCCGAGGUGAGAGAAGGAAGGAAUC
This 620-nucleotide long non-coding RNA is filed under the name Pan troglodytes (chimpanzee). Its description in RNAcentral is "long non-coding RNA NONPTRT017711". Lineage: Eukaryota; Metazoa; Chordata; Mammalia; Primates; Hominidae. The record is from RNAcentral.